Molecule: ribosomal RNA, 423 nt
Filed under: uncultured bacterium
Lineage: Bacteria
Description: bacterial SSU rRNA
Rfam family: Bacterial small subunit ribosomal RNA
Source: RNAcentral
AAGACCUUGCGCUUUUGGAGCGGCCGAUGUCUGAUUAGCUUGUUGGUAAGGUAAAAGCUUACCAAGGCUUCGAUCAGUAGCUGGUCUGAGAGGACGGCCAGCCACACUGGGACUGAGACACGGCCCAGACUCCUACGGGAGGCAGCAGUGGGGAAUUUUGGACAAUGGGGGCAACCCUGAUCCAGCCAUGCCGCGUGAGUGAAGAAGGCCUUCGGGUUGUAAAGCUCUUUCAGCCGGAACGAAACGGUUACGGUUAAUACCCGUGACUACUGACGGUACCGGAAGAAGAAGCACCGGCUAACUACGUGCCAGCAGCCGCGGUAAUACGUAGGGUGCAAGCGUUAAUCGGAAUUACUGGGCGUAAAGCGUGCGCAGGUGGUUUUGUGAGUCAGAUGUGAAAUCCCCGGGCUUAACCUGGGAACU